GGGGGCGAUCGGUUUCGACUGGGAGUAUCCUCGUGCCUGGUUGCGUGCCGAGGUUGCGGAGAUGGCCUCGUAAAUCCCUCCGCAAGGCAUUUACCUGCCGACAACAACUACGCACUCGCUGCUUAAUGCAGCGCGUCCCUUUGUUCUUCGCCCGCUGGGGCAAAGGGGCGACUGAUCGCGGGCUAGCCGAUGGUUCCUGGCCCGGGGACCUGAGGUAAAACUCAACGGGCUGGCGUGCGUCCUCGCUUGUUCUGGUGCCGGGCCGCUCGUGAGAUUCGAUCCGGAACUACGCACGUAGACGCCUUUCACGAGCCUCUGCAGGACGCGGGUUCGAUUCCCGCCGCCUCCACCA
RNAcentral lists this transfer-messenger RNA (352 nucleotides) under Planctomycetota. RNAcentral describes it as "GCA-2705055 sp002705055 Standard tmRNA". It matches the Rfam family "transfer-messenger RNA". Rfam says of the family: Bacterial tmRNA, also known as 10Sa RNA or SsrA, is named for its dual tRNA and mRNA-like properties. The record is from RNAcentral. RNAcentral also lists the same sequence under 2 other names. Lineage: Bacteria; Pseudomonadati.